GGGGACUUAACUCAGUGGUAGAGUGUUUGCUUCGCAAGCAAAAAGUCGCGAGUUCAAUCCUCGCAGUCUCCA
Molecule: non-coding RNA, 72 nt
Organism: Parastrongyloides trichosuri
Lineage: Eukaryota; Metazoa; Nematoda; Chromadorea; Rhabditida; Strongyloididae
Source: Rfam